Corvus hawaiiensis (hawaiian crow) is the source of this 2208-nucleotide long non-coding RNA. RefSeq lists it as uncharacterized. The transcript has 3 exons. The record is from RefSeq and is a predicted model, not a curated record. NCBI's taxonomy places the organism in Eukaryota, Metazoa, Chordata, Aves, Passeriformes, Corvidae.
GUUUUUAAAGCACUGUUUUCUAGACCAUGCAACUAAAUAUGUGUUAAAAUUGCAUUUAAAUAUCUAUUCAGAAUGUCUGAUUGUCUUAUACUGAUACUUGUAGAAGUAUUUAGAUAUUUGACUUCUUGGAGAAGUACCAAGAAAUAAUCUGUCUGAGACUAACUAUGAGGUUAUAUGUUGAUGUUCCUACUUUGCCCACUUGCCCCUGGAUUAUGAGCAGUAAAUAAUAUGUAUCUGCAUCUGGUGCUUUUCUAGGAGAGACAGUAAGGUAGAUGAAGAUAGUUCAGGAGGCACUUCAAAGCUCAGUUUUGUAUGAAGCAAUGCAUCAGAGCUCAGUGUCAGUAAAUGCCCUGAGGCUACUGCAAACUGUGGAUGAAGGGAGCAGUUGUAUCUCUGCCUUGUGAGAGUUCUUACAGCAGCAGUACUAGCCCCAGCCUCUUCUCCCUUGCCUGCAGUUCUGUCAAAUACAACUUCCAUUUGCCAAAACUUAAGGUAGCAAACUCAGAACUUUCAAGCAAGCCUGAAGAGAGUGUAAAGUGUGGGGUCUGCGUCUGUCUUUUGUAUUGGAAGUUCAGUUGCUUACAGCCUUUGCUAUUCCUCUAAAACACCAAACCUCUGUACAUGUGUACUGCAGGUUUUAUGCCAGAGUUACAGUUCAUAGUUUGAAAAAGAUUAACAGUAUCGGGGUGGGGAAGAUACUGAGAAAGCAAGAUUUGCUGUUGUAAAUUGAGGUCAAGUUGUUUGGUUUUUUCUUAAAUUUGGCUGUUGAGAUGAAACUGAGCAAGACAGACUCGGUGGGACAAAGCACAGUAAUAACAGAACAUGAGUCAUUGCUUAGUAGUAAAAAAACCCCUGAAAUGAAUAGCUGGUAUGGAGUCAUAUACUAGAAAACUCUUUGAUACUCUGUGGCUAAAAUAAAGUAAAUGUUUCUUGGAGAAGAGUUGUAAAGGAAACAGUUAAUGUUUUUGAAAGCUUCUUUCACUAUUGUGAUCAAAUGGUGAGGUGGGAUUCAGUGUCACUGGAGAAUGUGUAUAUACCUGAAAAACAGAUGUAGAGAAACAUUAUAGCCUGUUGUACCUGAGACAGGAUGUUGGUUUGCCAGGAGAAGGAUAAAAUCGGAAGGAUUGCUUUUUCACAUUGAAAUAGGAAGAUAAUCUUUGCUGAAACUGGCUAAAGGUAAAUAUUAGCAUUGCUGCCUUCUCAUUAAAACAAAUAGUCUUGGUUUCUGAGUAAAGCUAAAUAUUAGUAUUGCUGCCUUUUCAUUUAAACAAAUAUUGUCUUGGUUGAAGCCAAGUACUCUAUUUCAGUUUCUGUCUCUAAGUAGCCAAGAAUUGUCUUGACUGAGGAUUUCAUGUGUGUUGAACAUCCUUACCAUAGUUUGAGGAUGCAGAGAUGUAGGAACACUGAAUUUGGCCACAAACUUAAAUGCAAGAAACUUCAUUUAAACUUGGGAGGGUAUGUGUUAUUUGGGGAUGUUUUUUAUUGGAUUGUUUUGUUUUAAAUGAUAAGGGGGCCAAGCGCUGGAAGAAAUUGCCCAGAGAAGUUGUGUGUCUGGCCCUGGAGGUACCCAGACCAAACUGGAUGUGGCCCUAAGCAUCCUGCACUAUAGUUGACCCUGUCUUCAGCAGGAAUCUUGAACUAUGUGAUCCACAGAAGUUGCUUUCAACAUGAAGCUGUAUGAUUCCAUGGUUUCUGCACAGGAUUGGAAGUGGAACACCUGCAGCUUGUGACAAGAUGGCAUAAGAGGCUUUUUGAAAACGAUUUGCAGCAGAUGAAUAGUGGCUCUGGCAUGAAACCUAAGCUUUCCUAAAAUAUAAUUCCAGCUUUGCUCAGUGGCUGCCAGUGAAGUCUGUUCUUUAGUUGUAUACUGGAGAGGGAAGUUCUGGUAGCCUGGCUCAGCUAGCAGGCUUUUAAUUCAAGGACCACUGCAGGCAGUCUGAUUCCUUGUGUUUGAACAUGAUGUAUACAGGAUGUGGAUCCAAAAACAUUGUGAACAGCAAGUGAACUAUAAGAUCCUUUUGACUGUUGAGCUUUCUGCACAAGGGAGUUGGUUUCUUAGAAAAUAGAUAGUUAUGCAGAAGGGCAAGGAAAAAUGGAGUACUUGAACCUGCUGAUGGCCUAUGUGAGAAACACAUCGAAAGCUACCACUCUGAUCCCUAUAAAUAAUAAAUAAAAGGUUGAAUAAAAGGCUUUUCAGUGCAGUUGUGA